GGUCAGGACGAACGCUGGCGGCGUGCCUAACACAUGCAAGUCGAGCGGGGACAUAUUGACGGAACGGAAGUUUCGGAUGGAAGGGAAGAUGAUGUGUUCUAGCGGCGGACGGGUGAGUAACGCGUGAGCAACCUGUCCUCACAGGGGGAUAACACAGCGAAAGUUGUACUAAUACCGCAUGAGACCACGGCGGGACAUCCCGCAGGGGUCAAAGGAGCAAUCCGGUGAAGGGUGGGCUCGCGUCCGAUUAGAUAGUUGGUGAGGUAACGGCCCACCAAGUCGACGAUCGGUAGCCGACCUGAGAGGGUGAUCGGCCACAUUGGGACUGAGACACGGCCCAAACUCCUACGGGAGGCAGCAGUGGGGAAUAUUGGUCAAUGGAGGCAAACCUCUGAACCAGCAAUGCCGCGUGAGUGAAGAAGAUCUUACGAUCGUAAAACUCUAAACUUAGGAACGAUAAUGACGGUACCUAAGGAUAAGCCCCGGCUAACUACGUGCCAGCCGCCGC
Molecule: ribosomal RNA, 508 nt
Filed under: uncultured bacterium
Lineage: Bacteria
Description: bacterial SSU rRNA
Rfam family: Bacterial small subunit ribosomal RNA
Source: RNAcentral